RNAcentral lists this ribosomal RNA (440 nucleotides) under uncultured bacterium. RNAcentral describes it as "partial 16S ribosomal RNA". It matches the Rfam family "Bacterial small subunit ribosomal RNA", at positions 338 to 795 of the family's 1533-position model. The record is from RNAcentral.
CCUACGGGUGGCUGCAGUGGGGAAUAUUGGACAAUGGGCGCAAGCCUGAUCCAGCCAUGCCGCGUGAGUGACGAAGGUCUUCGGAUUGUAAAGCUCUUUUGGCGGGGACGAUAAUGACGGUACCCGCAGAAUAAGCCCCGGCUAACUUCGUGCCAGCAGCCGCGGUAAUACGAAGGGGGCUAGCGUUGUUCGGAAUUACUGGGCGUAAAGCGCACGUAGGCGGAUUUGUAAGUCAGGGGUGAAAUCCCGGGGCUCAACCUCGGAACUGCCUUUGAUACUGCAAGUCUUGAGUCCGGAAGAGGUGAGUGGAAUUCCUAGUGUAGAGGUGAAAUUCGUAGAUAUUAGGAAGAACACCAGUGGCGAAGGCGGCUCACUGGUCCGGUACUGACGCUGAGGUGCGAAAGCGUGGGGAGCAAACAGGAUUAGAUACCCGAGUAGUC